RNAcentral lists this unclassified non-coding RNA (452 nucleotides) under Hevea brasiliensis (rubber tree). The record is from RNAcentral. Lineage: Eukaryota; Viridiplantae; Streptophyta; Magnoliopsida; Malpighiales; Euphorbiaceae.
CAACAUUUCCGUCAACUUGUUGUUUUCUUAGUGCAUAAUUUCCGCAUUGAUAAUUCUCUGCUGGAGAAACGUGGUGCUUUGAUUAUCCGAAGACUCUGUGUACUGUUAGAUGCUGAAAGGGUCUAUCGUGAACUCUCCAUGAUACUCGAGGGUGAAGCUGAUCUGGAUUUUGCAUCUAUUAUGGUUCAGGCUCUAAAUUUGAGCUUACUUACUUCCUCUGAACUAGCUGAGCUUCGUGUUCUUUUAAAGCAAUCACUUGUAAAUCCUGCUGGAAAAGACUUAUUUGUUUCUUUGUAUGCUUCAUGGUGCCAUUCACCUAUGGCAAUUAUAAGCCUUUGCCUAUUAGCACAGACAUAUCAGCAUGCAAGUGUGGUGAUUCAGUCAUUGGUAGAGGAAGAUAUAAAUGUCAAAUUCUUGGUCCAGCUGGAUAAAUUGAUUCGCUUGCUAGAAAC